Molecule: long non-coding RNA, 1326 nt
Filed under: Canis lupus familiaris (dog)
Lineage: Eukaryota; Metazoa; Chordata; Mammalia; Carnivora; Canidae
Description: lncRNA (ENSCAFG00040007797.1)
Source: RNAcentral
AUGACGAUUUGUGCUGCGAUUACCGGUGAAUUCUACACCAAACAGAGCGCUCUCGGGGCUGAAGCCUCCCGCCCAGCCUGCAACCGCACGGGACGCCGCGCAGCACCCCCGCCGCCCGCUCCGCGCAGACUCCGCCGCCUACGGGAGCGAACUACAACUCCCAUCGGACAACGCGAGCCGAGGGGGCGGGCAUCCGCCGCGCGUGGGCGGCGCCGACCAAUAACGACCGUCGUUACAGCCAACAGUUUGGCCGCGUUUGUAAAAGGCCGCGGCAGGCGAAGAGAGAGGAGUGACAGGUUUUUAUCGUAUUUAAGGAAUCUCUAUACCCAAUGUGGUGCUCAAACUCAGAAUCCCAAGAUCAAGAGUCACAUGCUCAACUGACUGAGCCAGGCAGGUAGCCUUUUUAUUUUAUUUUAUUUAUUUAUUUUUUAAAGAUUUUAUUUAUUUAUUCAUGACGGAAUGAGAGGCAGAGACACAGGCAGAGGGAGAGGGAGAGAGGCAGGCUCCAUGCAGGGAGCCCAACACAGGACUCAAUCUCAGGUCUCCAGGAUCAUACCCUGGGCUGAAGGCAGGCACUAAACCACUGGGCCACCUGGCUACCGUUAUUUCAUUUUUUUUUUAAGAUUUUAUUUAUUCAUGAGAGACACACAGACACAGGGACACAGGCAGAGGGAGAAGCUCCCACAUACAGGGAGCCCGAUGUGUGACUCCAUCCGGGUCUCCAGAUUCACGCUCUGGGCUGAAGGCAGCGCUAAACUGCUGGGCCACCCGGGCUGCCCCAGGAACCCCUUUUAUUUUUUAUUUUUUAUUUUUAUUUUUUUUAAAUUUUUAUUUAUUUAUGAUAGUCACACACACAGAGAGAGAGAGAGAGAGAGAGGCAGAGACAGAAGCAGGCUCCAUGCACCGGGAGCCCGACAUGGGAUUCAAUCCCGGUCUCCAGGAUCACGCCCUGGGCCAAAGGCAGGCGCCAAACCGCUGCGCCACCCAGGGAUCCCCAGGAACCCCUUUUAAUAACAGCUUUAUUAGGAGCCCCUGGGUGGCUCAUUCAGUUAAGUGUCCAGCUCUUGGUUUCCACUCAGGUCAUGAUCUCAGGGUCAUGAGAUGGAGCCCUGAGUUGGGCUCCAUGCUUAGCAUGGAGUCCGCUUGUCCCUCUUCCUCUGUCCCCCCACCCAUUCUCUCUCUCUCUCUCUCAAAUAAAUAAUAAAAUCGGGCAGCCCUGGUGGCUCAGCGGUUUAGUGUCCUUCAGUCAGCGCCUUCAGUCCAGCGCCUGAUCCUGGAGUCCCCAGAUCGAGUCCCGCGUCGGGCUCCCUGCAUGGAGCCUGCUUC